GCUGGGUGAUAUUGACAGAAG
This 21-nucleotide microRNA is filed under the name Arachis hypogaea (peanut). Its description in RNAcentral is "ahy-miR3516". The record is from miRBase by way of RNAcentral. Lineage: Eukaryota; Viridiplantae; Streptophyta; Magnoliopsida; Fabales; Fabaceae.